GGCAGUGUGGUGUAGUGGUUUGAGCAUUUGACUAUGACCAUGGAGAUCAGGGUUCGAAUUCCCAUUCUGCCA
Molecule: non-coding RNA, 72 nt
Organism: Phrynosoma platyrhinos (Desert horned lizard)
Lineage: Eukaryota; Metazoa; Chordata; Lepidosauria; Squamata; Phrynosomatidae
Source: the annotation of a GenBank genome assembly